AUUGUGCCAAGGAGUAAAAGACAACAAUGCUGCCAGGAUGAUGCCAACACACUACCUGCCCAUUCAGGAACAAGCAAUUUACAAAUUUACAAAAAGUAGAGUUUAUGCUACAGAGAUGACAAAAACGGGAGCUGGUCAUGCCAGAGAAACCAACCAUGUGAUUUGAGGGUUGAGCCUUUGCGCCAUGUGACAUCAGCCAGGCCUAAGGGGAAUGAAUAUAGCAGGGCUGGAGAUCAAGCCAAGGAGCAAUGAUUCAACCAAUCAUUCCUACAUAAGGAAAAUCCAGUAAAAACUCUGGACACUCAGGCUUAGCCAAAGAACACCAAGAAAACUACUACAGUUAAGUUGGAUUUACUACUCAUUGCAUUAAGGAAUGCACGGAGAACACACCAUGGGGAACCCUGCGGUAUCGUGGUCCCUGUCUUCCCUGAAUGGUCUCUACCAACUUCACCUCCGGUUCUAGGUGUCAUGGCUGCCCCAAGGGUCUAGAGACGACAACUUCUCCGCUUCCUCGGCGAUGGCGGCGUCCGGGAGCGGUAUGGCCCAGAAAACCUGGGAACUGG
This 563-nucleotide small RNA is filed under the name Pongo abelii (Sumatran orangutan). RNAcentral's name for it is "processed transcript". The record is from RNAcentral. Lineage: Eukaryota; Metazoa; Chordata; Mammalia; Primates; Hominidae.